AUCUGAACUCAAACAGGCAAGAUUACCCGCUGAAUUUAAGCAUAUUAAUAAGCGGAGGAAAAGAAACUAACAAGGAUUCCCCUAGUAACGGCGAGUGAAGCGGGAACAGCUCAAGCUUGAAAUCUGCACCUUGUAAAAAGGGUGCCGAGUUGUAGCUUUUGGAGGCACUAUUGAGCGGCUAAUCUUGGUAAAAGUCCUUUUGAAUAAGGCAUCAGAGAGGGUGAAAAUCCCGUAUUUGACCAGGAGUAUAAAUUAGUUGCGAUAUCAAGUGUUUUCUUUGAGUCGGGUUGUUUGGGAAUGCAGCCCUAAUUAGGAGGUAAAUUUCUUCUAAAGCUAAAUAUCAGCAAGAGACCGAUAGCAUACAAGUACCGUGAGGGAAAGAUGAAAAGCACUUUGAAAAGAGAGUGAAAAGUACGUGAAAUUGUUGGAAGGGAACCGGUUGAUGACCAAGCUUUUUUGGCUUCCUUUCGGGGGAGUUGGAGGGUCAACAUCGGUUGUUUUAUGGCUAGAAGGGAUUUUGCGGGCUGACGGGGGAAAGGUAGUAAGCGUUCUGGGUAUUUUAUACCUAGGGCGUUUAUGUUAUAGACUCCCACAGGCUCGCUUCAAAAGCUCUAUAGUUGUAGCGACCGAGGAAUGCAGUGUGUUUUUAUCCUUCGGGAUUUAGGGCAGCUUGUAGGGAUGCAUUUUGUGGUGUUUUUAUCUGGGGCUAGACAGCUUUGCUGACUAGUUCUGAUGCGCCAUAUGUACGCCUUGCAAGGUGACCAAGAAGCACUUUGGAUGUUGGCGAAAAGGCAUCAAUCGACCCGUCUUGAAACACGGACCAAGGAGUCCAACAUGCAUGCGAGUAUUUGGGAAAAGAUAAACCCAUGUGCGUAAUGAAAGUGAAUUUUAUUUAGAAUGUGACCUGCUUUAUUGUGGGGCAACAUCAACCGACUUUAGAUAGCGCUGCUUGAAAAGGUUGAGUAAGAGCAUGUAUGCUGGGACCCGAAAGAUGGUGAACUAUGCCUGAAUAGGGUGAAGUCAGAGGAAACUCUGAUGGAAGCUCGUAGAGAUUCUGACGUGCAAAUCGAUCUCAAAAUUUGGGUAUAGGGGCAAAAAACUAAUCAAACCAUCUAGUACCUGGUUCCUGC
Molecule: ribosomal RNA, 1130 nt
Filed under: Smittium simulatum
Lineage: Eukaryota; Fungi; Kickxellomycota; Harpellomycetes; Harpellales; Legeriomycetaceae
Description: eukaryotic LSU rRNA
Rfam family: Eukaryotic large subunit ribosomal RNA
Source: RNAcentral